This 919-nucleotide long non-coding RNA is filed under the name Fukomys damarensis (Damara mole-rat). RNAcentral describes it as "lncRNA (ENSFDAG00000032234.1)". Lineage: Eukaryota; Metazoa; Chordata; Mammalia; Rodentia; Bathyergidae. The record is from RNAcentral.
GCUUUUGUUUCCUCAGCUGCACGUGAUGAGGCUAGACACCUGCUCACAGGAUCCUUUCAGCUUGGAAUCUGGCUCAGUGGGCCAGCCUGUGUUCCCCAGGCAUCCUUGGGGAGCUGUGUUCCAUUUUCACUCCACUGAAGAGUUCCUGGGAGUUCAUAGAAUGGUUGCUGGGACUGAACAUCAGCCCUGCUCCCCCAACCAGUGGCUUUCCCCGACAUUCCUACAGAUGGGAAAGAUGCACAAGCCUUCCUGCAGGCCUCCCCAAUAAAGCCAGAGCUGUCAGACAUUCCACAGCCCCUGCAUCCCUUCUUGAUGCGAUGAGAUAAGGCUGGGGGCUCAUCAGAAAUGUCCCCACAGACACUGAGACCUCACUGUUGGCAGUUGCUUCUUUCUCUUGGACUCCAAGGCCUAUGUGUCCACUGCCCUUCUUCCAAACCUCCAGGUAGGCCCUUACUGCUGAUGCUGGUCAGUCUUAUUUUUGUCACAUAGGUCUUACCUCCAAUGUAGUAGAAACUGAGGCUGUCCUUCCCAUCUUUACCUUCUGUUCUCCCAGGUUUUUGUUUUGUUUUGUGUUUUCUUUUCAGGAAGGGUCUUGCUAACUUGCUCACGCUCUAACUCUUGAUUCUCCUGCCUAGGCCUCCCAGAGCACUGGUAUUACAGACCUGUGCCACCACUGCCAUCCCUAGCUCCUUUUCUUCUGAGAGGCACCUACCAUGUGCCAGAACAUCACAUAGUCCCUGCACCGAUUCUGCCCCAUGGACAUUGCCGUCCCUACCUUGCUGUGGAGGGAUCAUCUAGAGAGAAGUAUUUUUCUCAAGGUCACUCAGCCACAAAGUGAUGGCUGGGAUUCAACCCCACAUCUAACUUCACACCCAGGUGGGCUCCCCUGCAAAGGCCCAGUAGGUGCAUAACCCAUCCC